This 253-nucleotide ribosomal RNA is filed under the name uncultured bacterium. RNAcentral's name for it is "partial 16S ribosomal RNA". It matches the Rfam family "Bacterial small subunit ribosomal RNA", at positions 524 to 776 of the family's 1533-position model. The record is from RNAcentral.
GACAGAGGUGCCGAGCGUUAGGCGGAAUCACUGGGCUUAAAGCGUGUGUAGGCGGUUCGUUAAGUGCCUUGUGAAAUCCCACGGCUCAACCGUGGAACUGCUGGGCAUACUGCCGAUCUUGAGCCAGCUAGGGGCAACCGGAACAAACGGUGGAGCGGUGAAAUGCGUAGAUAUCGGUUGGAACGCCAAUGGUGAAAACAGGUUGCUGGGGCUGUGCUGACGCUGAGACACGAAAACCAGGGGAGCGAACGGG